This is a long non-coding RNA of Drosophila virilis, 3670 nucleotides long. RefSeq lists it as uncharacterized. The record is from RefSeq and is a predicted model, not a curated record. NCBI's taxonomy places the organism in Eukaryota, Metazoa, Arthropoda, Insecta, Diptera, Drosophilidae.
ACCUGCGUAACUGUUGCAUUUAGUUGAAUUGUGCGAACUGAACUGAACAGAACAGAACGUAUUGUGCAUGUCUAUUAAUAUUGAACUUCGCUAAUAUUGGAUUAAUUACAUUUGGAACCAGCACAAAAGAUAAAAGUCCUUACGGAACUGACAUCUAAUCUAUAGCUUCACGGAGUUUCUUUGAAGCUUUUAGCACGCAACGAGCGCAUACACGAUCAAUGCUGAUGGUUCGUAGAUGACCCACAUAUCUUCGAUCAUGCCAUAUCAGAGAUAUAGUCCUGGCGAACCUAAAUACCCGAAUUUUUGUAAAAUAAGCAAAAAUUUGGCCGAGAAAUAUGUAUGAUUUUACUUUCAGCCGGCCUUAACAGCCUUCACUGGUUCCUAGUUGGCGUAAAUAUCCUUGAUUAUACCAUAUCAUAGAUAUUGUCCUGGUGAACCUAAAUCAGUAUAUAUUCGCCCAAUAUGCAUGGAAAUGGUCCAGAAAUAUACUGACGUGAAGUGACCACAUCUCAGGUAAUUUAAUCCCGAAUUGCAGGAGAUCAGGAAAAGGAACUUUUGACACAGGAUUCACAGAUUCACACAGGAUUGUUUAGACCAAGACCAAAGAACAUCAUUAUCGCCCUUGCAGUUUCUAAGAUAUGAAGAAGGAUAUGAAAUGUGCAAGGAUAUGGCCGAUUUAUAGCCAUUUUUAUAAAAAGGACAUUCGUUUUGCCAUAACCAUGCCAAGAAUAUCGGAAGGAUACAACUUUUUGAGUGUGUGAAAUGAAUUGUAUGGACCAGGUCUAUCAUCUGACAAAAGGGCAUCGAAUUCGUCCUUGUAGUUUCUAAGAUAUGGAGGAUUUUGUGUAUUUUGCCAGUUUUCCUUGCCCGAAAAUUUUUACAAGUACAGGAUUCUUAGAUGACCCCAUAAUUUUUUGAUGCAGAUCGAUGCAAUUGGUCCUUACGAUCAUAAAGCACCAUGUCCUGCAAAAAUGUGCAAGGAUAUGGCCGAGUUAUGGCCAUUUUUCUAAAAAGGACAUUCGUUUUUUGGCCAUAGCCCUGCCAAAUCCUGAAGGAUAUCGGAAGGAUAUACCUUUUUGAGCUCGUAGGAAGCAGGACUAUCGAUUCGCAUUCAAGGAUUUCCAGGAUUCAAUCAAAAAUUUACCUAAAAAAUUUUCCUAGGGGGUUGCUCACAAAAUCGGCAAAAAUCAAUAAAAUCAGGGCUAACUUGGCCAUUUUAAGGACUAUCAUGAUGUCCUUUGCACAGUAGAUAGUCCUCGUCCCCCCAAUUACGAAUUAGCAAUAAAAAGGACGAAAAUCCUGCAAACGGCGGAGCAAAAAUGCCAAAUUUACAAACACAAAAUAGCCUAUAACUCAGCUAUAUCCUUGCGUAUCCUGACGAGUCCUGUGUCAAAUGAAUUGUAUGGACCGGGUUUAUCAUCUGGCCAAAGGGCAUCGAAAUCGUCCUAGUAGUUUCUAAGAUAUGAAGGAUUUUGUGUAUUUGGCCUGUUUUCCUUGCAAAUUGAGGCCGAAAAUUUUUACAAGUACAGGAUUCUUAGAUGACCCCAUAAUUUUUUGAUGCAGAUCGAUGCAAUUGGUCCUUACGAUCAUAAAGCACCAUGUCCUGCAAAAAUGUGCAAGGAUAUGGCCGAGUUAUGGCCAUUUUUCUAAAAAGGACAUUCGUUUUUUGGCCAUAGCCCUGCCAAAUCCUGAAGGAUAUCGGAAGGAUAUACCUUUUUGAGCUCGUAGGAAGCAGGACUAUCGAUUCGCAUUCAAGGAUUUCCAGGAUUCAAUCAAAAAUUUACCUAAAAAAUUUUCCUAGGGGGUUGCUCACAAAAUCGGCAAAAAUCAAUAAAAUCAGGGCUAACUUGGCCAUUUUAAGGACUAUCAUGAUGUCCUUUGCACAGUAGAUAGUCCUCGUCCCCCCAAUUACGAAUUAGCAAUAAAAAGGACGAAAAUCCUUCAAACGGCGGAGCAAAAAUGCCAAAUUUACAAACACAAAAUAGCCUAUAACUCAGCUAUAUCCUUGCGUAUCCUGACGAGUCCUGUGUCAAAUGAAUUGUAUGGACCAGGUCUAUCAUCUGGCAAAAGGGCAUCGAAAUCGUCCUUGUAGUUUCUAAGAUAUGAAGGAUUUUGUGUAUUUGGCCUGUUUUCCUUGCAAAUUGAGGCCGAAAAUUUUUACAAGUACAGGAUUCUUAGAUGACCCCAUAAUUUUUUGAUGCAGAUCGAUGCAAUUGGUCCUUACGAUCAUAAAGCACCAUGUCCUGCAAAAAUGUGCAAGGAUAUGGCCGAGUUAUGGCCAUUUUUCUAAAAAGGACAUUUGUUUUUUGGCCAUAGCCCUGCCAAAUCCUGAAGGAUAUCGGAAGGAUAUACCUUUUUGAGCUCGUAGGAAGCAGGACUAUCGAUUCGCAUUCAAGGAUUUCCAGGAUUCAAUCAAAAAUUUACCUAAAAAAUUUUCCUAGGGGGUUGCUCACAAAAUCGGCAAAAAUCAAUAAAAUCAGGGCUAACUUGGCCAUUUUAAGGACUAUCAUGAUGUCCUUUGCACAGUAGAUAGUCCUCGUCCCCCCAAUUACGAAUUAGCAAUAAAAAGGACGAAAAUCCUUCAAACGGCGGAGCAAAAAUGCCAAAUUUACAAACACAAAAUAGCCUAUAACUCAGCUAUAUCCUUGCGUAUCCUGACGAGUCCUGUGUCAAAUGAAUUGUAUGGACCAGGUCUAUCAUCUGGCCAAAGGGCAUCGAAAUCGUCCUUGUAGUUUCUAAGAUAUGAAGGAUUUUUUGUAUUUGGCCUGUUUUCCUUGCAAAUUGAGGCCGAAAAUUUUUACAAGUACAGGAUUCUUAGAUGACCCCAUAAUUUUUUGAUGCAGAUCGAUGCAAUUGGUCCUUACGAUCAUAAAGCACCAUGUCCUGCCAAAAUGUGCAAGGAUAUGGCCGAGUUUUGGUCAUUUUUCUAAAAAGAAUAUUGGUUUUUUUGUCAUAAUUCUGCACUGGGGAGCAGGACUAUCGAUUAGCAUUCAAGGAUUCGACCGGAAUGGGAAAACAGACCGAAAACACAAAUAUGUUAAUUCUAAUAUAAUGCCUUACCGUAUUUUUAAUGUUUCUAUAAAGUAUAAUUAUUUAAUACCUGCGCAAUUCCCACAUUGUUGCUUCAUUUAUGGCUUGAGCAACUUUCAAGACGCAAUUUGGUUAAUUAGAAUUAGUUAUUACAUUUUCUCAUAGUUGUUGCAGCUGCAGUUGUUGACGUUAAACAAACGAUAGAAAUUAUUCUCAUUUCUAUAGCUGUUCCAAUUGUUUUCAUUUAAUAUAACGCCCACAAGCGUUUGAAGGAAUUACGGGUUAUUUUGCAUAUACAAUUUUAAUAUUUCUGAGACAUUUAUUAGACACAAAUAGAAUGUAGUUAUAGUAUAAUAUACUCUAUAUGCUCGUAUGCUAUAUAAGCGAUAUAAUUGUAAUAACUAAAAUGUACACGCUAAACGACUAAGACAAUGCAUUGCGAGAGCUUGAGCGAAAGUGAGAGGGAACUAGUUAGUUUAUCUCGGUCUCCUGCUCUCUCUUUCGCUCCGCUUAGCUCUGUGCAACUAAAGACUAACGAGAGAAUAGGUAAUUGUAAUUGUAAUUAAAUUGCAUUAAUUAUAAACAAUUACGAAUACAGUUUCACGAAAUACAAUGCACAACAUACGAAACAACAUUUAAA